GGCCAAAAUCCGGAUGAGCUGCCUUAUUAUUUAAAACAUCACAGUAAAUGGGAAAAACACCUGAAGGGUUACGUUCAUAGAAUGUACAAUCAGUUCGACCUGGAUGACACCCGAAAAUUGUUGGAAUCGGUAGGUUUUAAAGUACUUAGUGGAACGUCACACACGCCAUGUGAAAAUGUCGACAUCUCGAGUCAAGACGAAUUAGACGAAUACCUGCGUACGCUCCUUGGGCACAUAGUAUACUUACCACGAGAGUACCACACAGAGUUUCUUCAAGAUGCGAGUGACUGGUGUAAUAAAAACUUCCCAGUCAAUCAUCUAGGAAAUAUAUACUGUAAAGCGAUGAUAAUUGUCGUACAUGCUAUAAAAAAAGUAAAUUUAUAUAAUACUUGAGUUACAUGACCAUCAUUCUUUUUCUUCAUAUUCGAGGUCGUCAUCUAUUAUAAUAUAUACUUAAGUUAGUUGUCUAAUUUUUAUCAAAAU
Long non-coding RNA from Anneissia japonica, 483 nucleotides. RefSeq lists it as uncharacterized. NCBI's taxonomy places the organism in Eukaryota, Metazoa, Echinodermata, Crinoidea, Comatulida, Comatulidae. The transcript has 4 exons. The record is from RefSeq and is a predicted model, not a curated record.